CCUCUAAUACAAAUACCAAUUCCUCACAUCGCAUUUCUCAAAUCAGUAAACAAAAUCUUGAGAUUAGGAUGUGAAAGGUGAGGAAUUGAGCUUGAAUUCAUCAAGUCAUUCUUCUUCUUACGUAUUUGCGAGAGAUCGCAGAAAUUCUCCUCAAGAAUUUAAUUACGAUAGGCCACCAAAUUUCUGCAAUUAUGGAUUAAAGGCAACAAAAUGGGUUUCAUGGAGUGAAUCAAACCCAAGAAGAAGGUUCUAUUCAUGUCAAUAUUUAAGGUAAUUGAAUAUGGAUAUUUUAAGGUAUUCUGAAAUUUUUAUCAAUUAGUGUUACAGAUAAAUUCUCAUUUUUUUCUUCUAGAUGACAGCCAAAAGGAUGUCAUUCUUCGAGUGGCACCAUGAGAAGAUGAGUGAGAGGGCUGUGAAUGUCAUAAAUGAUUUGAGGGUAAAUUUUUUUACUGUCAAUGAAGGCAAUGCACAUUCUUAUCAAUUGAUAAGGGAUAGAUAUGAUAUUCGUGCACAGGAAAUGGAGGUUGAGAUGCAAGUUGUAUUAUGUGAUUUGCUUGAGCAGAAGAAUGAAUUUAAUAACCUCAAGGGAAGAGUAUUUUGGUUAUGGAUUGGUCUUGGGUUAAUGUUGGUGUUUUGCACUUUGCUCUGUUAUGGGAGAUAUCUGUAGAGCAUGUCUGACCUGUGCUUAGCUUAUUUUAUACAAUUUAUUACUCUGUUAGCUUUGCAUAGCUUGUCACAAUGUAGUUAGAUGCAGGAACUUAUUAUGUAAUAUUGAAUUUUGAUUUCAAUGGGAAUGAGAAAUACUAGAAAUGGUUUUAUU
RNAcentral lists this long non-coding RNA (820 nucleotides) under Jatropha curcas. RNAcentral describes it as "long non-coding RNA (JCUR_LNC001172)". The record is from RNAcentral. Lineage: Eukaryota; Viridiplantae; Streptophyta; Magnoliopsida; Malpighiales; Euphorbiaceae.